UACGAAGGGGGCUAGCGUUGCUCGGGAUCACUGGGCGUAAAGGGUGCGUAGGCGGGUCUUUAAGUCAGGGGUGAAAUCCUGGAGCUCAACUCCAGAACUGCCUUUGAUACUGAAGAUCUUGAGUUCGGGAGAGGUGAGUGGAACUGCGAGUGUAGAGGUGAAAUUCGUAGAUAUUCGCAAGAACACCAGUGGCGAAGGCGGCUCACUGGCCCGAUACUGACGCUGAGGAGCGAAAGCGUGGGGAGCGAACAGG
RNAcentral lists this ribosomal RNA (253 nucleotides) under uncultured bacterium. Its description in RNAcentral is "partial 16S ribosomal RNA". It matches the Rfam family "Bacterial small subunit ribosomal RNA", at positions 524 to 776 of the family's 1533-position model. The record is from RNAcentral.